GUGGGGAAUUUUGGACAAUGGGGGCAACCCUGAUCCAGCCAUGCCGCGUGCGGGAAGAAGGCCUUCGGGUUGUAAACCGCUUUCGGCCGGGAAGAAAUCGCCAUGCCUAACACGCGUGGUGGAUGACGGUACCGGAAGAAGAAGCACCGGCUAACUACGUGCCAGCAGCCGCGGUAAUACGUAGGGUGCGAGCGUUAAUCGGAAUUACUGGGCGUAAAGCGUGCGCAGGCGGAUGUUUAAGUCAGACGUGAAAUCCCCGGGCUUAACCUGGGAAUGGCGUUUGAAACUGGACGUCUAGAGUGCGGCAGAGGGAGGUGGAAUUCCACGUGUAGCAGUGAAAUGCGUAGAGAUGUGGAGGAACACCGAUGGCGAAGGCAGCCUCCUGGGCUGACACUGACGCUCAUGCACGAAAGCGUGGGGAGCAAACAGGAUUAGAAACCCCAGUAGUCC
This 450-nucleotide ribosomal RNA is filed under the name uncultured bacterium. Its description in RNAcentral is "bacterial SSU rRNA". It matches the Rfam family "Bacterial small subunit ribosomal RNA", at positions 354 to 796 of the family's 1533-position model. The record is from RNAcentral.